AUGGUUGUUACCCCAGCUAGAUCCAGACUUGCUGUAAAGUGGGAAGCCCUUUAUGCAGCUGGCUCUAACCUCCCCAGAUACCUGCUAGAUCUGGAGGAGGCUGCAUGGUUUUCCUACUGCACAGCAGUUAAGAGACCCUCAAGGAAUUUUUUUUCUUUUUCUUUUUCUUUUUCCUUUUUUUUUUUUUACCUCUCCCAAGCCUCUGCAUUAUGGCUUUUCAUACCAUGUAGGAAAAUUAUUUUUGAUUAACAACUUGAACACACUAGUGUAAGAAACACAGGAGCAAAACUCCUGCUAUUCACCUGCUACCAAAGGCAACCACACCAUUUCUUCCCUCUUCUGAACUGUUCUCCUCCUGUGCUAAAGUAGUAAGGACUUCUACCAUCACAGAACUUCUCACCACUGGACGAAGCAAUUUCUACAGCUUACAACCAGAACUCAUGUAGCUGGUACAUCAAACUGUUGUGUCUGUGCAGGACCACAACCGGUGUUUGCAUUGUGUGUAGCUUCCCCAUUCUUCUGACCAUCCCAGAAGCAGGAUUCUGGGUCACUUCCUGCUUGAAUUUGGUUGCCAGUGUCAUGAAUCCAUUCUCAUCCUUGGAAGAAAUUCCUCACUGACACAUCUCCAGGACUGAUUUCUCUCUCCCUUUUAUUUUAUUUUCUUCCACCUGCAUUAAACCAUAAGUUAGCCACUAUCAUAGUAGCAGCCGAUGGCUUCUUCACUUGAAAAUAUUUGUUUUCCAUGGAAGUUAAAGUUUGCAUUACGUUGUGUUUUACAGGCCCUUAAAUUUCCUUCUAUUUCUACCACUUGGGUGUUCAGGUGAUACAUAUUUUUCUGUAUUUCCUCAUUUUUCUUCUUUCCUUAGAAUGGCUGUGCUUGGCUUCACCAUGUUAACAACCUUGCUUGGUGUGUUCACAUGUUACAGCUUCCACCAGUGCUUAGUCCAAAUAUCGCUUGUAUCCCUUUCACAGCUUGUCAGGAAAAGCAGCAUGGUCACAAAGGCCUAUGCACAUUGCUGCUUACAAUAAAUAAUACAAUGAAAAGUGGUAUGUUUUUGCU
This 1060-nucleotide long non-coding RNA is filed under the name Anas platyrhynchos platyrhynchos (common mallard). RNAcentral describes it as "lncRNA (ENSAPLG00000017327.1)". The record is from RNAcentral. Lineage: Eukaryota; Metazoa; Chordata; Aves; Anseriformes; Anatidae.